Molecule: ribosomal RNA, 2932 nt
Filed under: Escherichia coli
Lineage: Bacteria; Pseudomonadati; Pseudomonadota; Gammaproteobacteria; Enterobacterales; Enterobacteriaceae
Description: 23S ribosomal RNA
Rfam family: Bacterial large subunit ribosomal RNA
Source: RNAcentral
GGGUUGUGAGGUUAAGCGACUAAGCGUACACGGUGGAUGCCCUGGCAGUCAGAGGCGAUGAAGGACGUGCUAAUCUGCGAUAAGCGUCGGUAAGGUGAUAUGAACCGUUAUAACCGGCGAUUUCCGAAUGGGGAAACCCAGUGUGAUUCGUCACACUAUCAUUAACUGAAUCCAUAGGUUAAUGAGGCGAACCGGGGGAACUGAAACAUCUAAGUACCCCGAGGAAAAGAAAUCAACCGAGAUUCCCCCAGUAGCGGCGAGCGAACGGGGAGCAGCCCAGAGCCUGAAUCAGUGUGUGUGUUAGUGGAAGCGUCUGGAAAGGCGCGCGAUACAGGGUGACAGCCCCGUACACAAAAAUGCACAUGCUGUGAGCUCGAUGAGUAGGGCGGGACACGUGGUAUCCUGUCUGAAUAUGGGGGGACCAUCCUCCAAGGCUAAAUACUCCUGACUGACCGAUAGUGAACCAGUACCGUGAGGGAAAGGCGAAAAGAACCCCGGCGAGGGGAGUGAAAAAGAACCUGAAACCGUGUACGUACAAGCAGUGGGAGCACAGAGCAAUCUGUGUGACUGCGUACCUUUUGUAUAAUGGGUCAGCGACUUAUAUUCUGUAGCAAGGUUAACCGAAUAGGGGAGCCGAAGGGAAACCGAGUCUUAACUGGGCGUUAAGUUGCAGGGUAUAGACCCGAAACCCGGUGAUCUAGCCAUGGGCAGGUUGAAGGUUGGGUAACACUAACUGGAGGACCGAACCGACUAAUGUUGAAAAAUUAGCGGAUGACUUGUGGCUGGGGGUGAAAGGCCAAUCAAACCGGGAGAUAGCUGGUUCUCCCCGAAAGCUAUUUAGGUAGCGCCUCGUGAAUUCAUCUCCGGGGGUAGAGCACUGUUUCGGCAAGGGGGUCAUCCCGACUUACCAACCCGAUGCAAACUGCGAAUACCGGAGAAUGUUAUCACGGGAGACACACGGCGGGUGCUAACGUCCGUCGUGAAGAGGGAAACAACCCAGACCGCCAGCUAAGGUCCCAAAGUCAUGGUUAAGUGGGAAACGAUGUGGGAAGGCCCAGACAGCCAGGAUGUUGGCUUAGAAGCAGCCAUCAUUUAAAGAAAGCGUAAUAGCUCACUGGUCGAGUCGGCCUGCGCGGAAGAUGUAACGGGGCUAAACCAUGCACCGAAGCUGCGGCAGCGACGCUGAUGCGUUGUUGGGUAGGGGAGCGUUCUGUAAGCCUGCGAAGGUGUGCUGUGAGGCAUGCUGGAGGUAUCAGAAGUGCGAAUGCUGACAUAAGUAACGAUAAAGCGGGUGAAAAGCCCGCUCGCCGGAAGACCAAGGGUUCCUGUCCAACGUUAAUCGGGGCAGGGUGAGUCGACCCCUAAGGCGAGGCCGAAAGGCGUAGUCGAUGGGAAACAGGUUAAUAUUCCUGUACUUGGUGUUACUGCGAAGGGGGGACGGAGAAGGCUAUGUUGGCCGGGCGACGGUUGUCCCGGUUUAAGCGUGUAGGCUGGUUUUCCAGGCAAAUCCGGAAAAUCAAGGCUGAGGCGUGAUGACGAGGCACUACGGUGCUGAAGCAACAAAUGCCCUGCUUCCAGGAAAAGCCUCUAAGCAUCAGGUAACAUCAAAUCGUACCCCAAACCGACACAGGUGGUCAGGUAGAGAAUACCAAGGCGCUUGAGAGAACUCGGGUGAAGGAACUAGGCAAAAUGGUGCCGUAACUUCGGGAGAAGGCACGCUGAUAUGUAGGUGAAGUCCCUCGCGGAUGGAGCUGAAAUCAGUCGAAGAUACCAGCUGGCUGCAACUGUUUAUUAAAAACACAGCACUGUGCAAACACGAAAGUGGACGUAUACGGUGUGACGCCUGCCCGGUGCCGGAAGGUUAAUUGAUGGGGUUAGCGCAAGCGAAGCUCUUGAUCGAAGCCCCGGUAAACGGCGGCCGUAACUAUAACGGUCCUAAGGUAGCGAAAUUCCUUGUCGGGUAAGUUCCGACCUGCACGAAUGGCGUAAUGAUGGCCAGGCUGUCUCCACCCGAGACUCAGUGAAAUUGAACUCGCUGUGAAGAUGCAGUGUACCCGCGGCAAGACGGAAAGACCCCGUGAACCUUUACUAUAGCUUGACACUGAACAUUGAGCCUUGAUGUGUAGGAUAGGUGGGAGGCUUUGAAGUGUGGACGCCAGUCUGCAUGGAGCCGACCUUGAAAUACCACCCUUUAAUGUUUGAUGUUCUAACGUUGACCCGUAAUCCGGGUUGCGGACAGUGUCUGGUGGGUAGUUUGACUGGGGCGGUCUCCUCCUAAAGAGUAACGGAGGAGCACGAAGGUUGGCUAAUCCUGGUCGGACAUCAGGAGGUUAGUGCAAUGGCAUAAGCCAGCUUGACUGCGAGCGUGACGGCGCGAGCAGGUGCGAAAGCAGGUCAUAGUGAUCCGGUGGUUCUGAAUGGAAGGGCCAUCGCUCAACGGAUAAAAGGUACUCCGGGGAUAACAGGCUGAUACCGCCCAAGAGUUCAUAUCGACGGCGGUGUUUGGCACCUCGAUGUCGGCUCAUCACAUCCUGGGGCUGAAGUAGGUCCCAAGGGUAUGGCUGUUCGCCAUUUAAAGUGGUACGCGAGCUGGGUUUAGAACGUCGUGAGACAGUUCGGUCCCUAUCUGCCGUGGGCGCUGGAGAAUUGAGGGGGGCUGCUCCUAGUACGAGAGGACCGGAGUGGACGCAUCACUGGUGUUCGGGUUGUCAUGCCAAUGGCACUGCCCGGUAGCUAAAUGCGGAAGAGAUAAGUGCUGAAAGCAUCUAAGCACGAAACUUGCCCCGAGAUGAGUUCUCCCUGACUCCUUGAGAGUCCUGAAGGAACGUUGAAGACGACGACGUUGAUAGGCCGGGUGUGUAAGCGCAGCGAUGCGUUGAGCUAACCGGUACUAAUGAACCGUGAGGCUUAACCUUACAACGCCGAAGCUGUU